GUAUGUGUACGAGUUUGAUCACUCAUCAGAAGCUUAGCCAAUCCAAAGUCCGAGAUCCUUGCAGUAAAUGAAUCAUCCAGGAGAAUGUUUUGGGGUUUAAUGUCGCAAUGGAUUAUCUGUGUGCUGCAUUCCUCAUGCAAGUAUGUGAGUCCCCUUGCAAUCCCAAACGCCAUUUGCAAUCGUUUGUUCCAGUCAGAUCUUGACAUUCCAAAAAGUAAGCUAGCCAAGGUGCCAUUGCUCAUGAAUUCAUACACCAAAAGCUUGUUGGAGCCUUCAUCGCAAAAUCCAAUCAAUCUGACCAAAUUCUUGUGAUGGGUUUUGGCUAUUGCGCUUACUUCUGUUUUGAACUCCUUCUCGCCUUCUUGCACCAUCCUGUCUAGCUUCUUGACUGCA
This 393-nucleotide unclassified non-coding RNA is filed under the name Hevea brasiliensis (rubber tree). Lineage: Eukaryota; Viridiplantae; Streptophyta; Magnoliopsida; Malpighiales; Euphorbiaceae. The record is from RNAcentral.